Molecule: transfer RNA, 72 nt
Filed under: Ovis aries (sheep)
Lineage: Eukaryota; Metazoa; Chordata; Mammalia; Artiodactyla; Bovidae
Rfam family: tRNA
About the family: Transfer RNA (tRNA) molecules are approximately 80 nucleotides in length. Their secondary structure includes four short double-helical elements and three loops (D, anti-codon, and T loops).
Source: Rfam by way of RNAcentral
UCCCUGGUGGCUAAGACAAUAAAGAAUCUGUCUGCAAAGUAGGAAACCCGGGUUUGAUCCCUGGCUUGGGAA